Molecule: ribosomal RNA, 208 nt
Filed under: uncultured bacterium
Lineage: Bacteria
Description: partial 16S ribosomal RNA
Rfam family: Bacterial small subunit ribosomal RNA
Source: RNAcentral
UACGUAGGGUCCGAGCGUUUGUCCGGAAUUACUGGGCGUAAAGAGCUCGUAGGCGGCUUGUCACGUCGACUGUGAAAACCCGGGGCUCAACUCCGGGCCUGCAGUCGAUACGGGCUGGCUUGAGUGCGGUAGGGGAGACUGGAAUUCCUGGUGUAGCGGUGAAAUGCGCAGAUAUCAGGAGGAACACCGGUGGCGAAGGCGGAUGUCU